Molecule: long non-coding RNA, 2871 nt
Organism: Eriocheir sinensis (Chinese mitten crab)
Lineage: Eukaryota; Metazoa; Arthropoda; Malacostraca; Decapoda; Varunidae
Exons: 7
Source: RefSeq, a predicted model, not a curated record
UCCAUCUCAGUUGUUUCUAUACAGUAUAAAAAAUAAAAACAAAGAAUAGCCUAGCCUAAACUACUGUUGCACACCAAAGAAUAUAUUAUUGUUCAUAGCCUAGCACGGUUCUAUCUUACAAUAAUCUUUCAUACUCUCGGAAAUUACUUAUCUAGUAAUAGCAAUCAUAAAUUUGGUAUAUCAUUCAUUGAGUAUGUAUGUUUAGUUAUGUUUUUGCUUAUCUUUCAAUCUUAAUACAACUUUUAUUCGGUUUUAGUCAUGGUAUAUUUCUACUAUUAUCAAUUUGUUUAAUCAGUGAUGGUUUGUUAACUGAAUAUAUAUCUUACAAGAUAAAUUAGACUAUGUAAACAAAUAGAUACACAUGUGAUUUAUAGUUUGAGUAAUAAAAACAAUAACGAAUAUAUAUCAGACUUCAUUUUUUGUCUUGUUAAAAAUCUAAUUAAUAAGAAAACAAACACAUGGAUUACUUUAAACGAAUAGCAAUCCUCGUUUAUAUCAUUAAAAAACAAUUUAGUCAGGAAAAAAGACGUUCAAUUCACUAAAAAUCUAGAAAAAGAAGCUCAUUUGACCACAGUUCCUCCCUCAUGGUGUCAGUUUUCUCUAAUAACUCGUGCGGAGAGGGUGUUCACUUCUCACCUCUGGCUCAAAAUCGAAUUACCCUCAUUAACAUCAAUUUGGGAGCAACCAGAUCGCCAAAAGAUGGGUGUGACGUUACUGUUACUGUGUGCGUGUGUGUGUGCGGUAGCGGGUCGGGGGGCCACAUGGGGACUGCCGCAAGUACGCCGUCGAACCCACGCCCAUGACAUAUGUCAGGGCGGGGUGCGAUGGGCCGAACCCCCACUGUGCUCUUAAUGUGACCCUCCACCCGCCAUCACCACCACCACCACGGAAAUCACUACUGCCACCACCACCGCCACCGCGUGAAUCACCACCACCACCACCACCUGACCACAUUUCGUAAGAUGAUUUGCACCAUGAAGGAGACGGCCUGGGUGUAGGGCAUCUGCCAGAGCAACCAUCUCACCCACCGCAGCUUGUCCCUACAGGUGGCGAAGGUGUGACGCAAACUUACCUGAGAACACAUGUUGCGCCGAGGCCCCUCAGUGCUCCUAAUUGUGGCUCGAGCUUCAGCGGGUGGGCAACAGUCUGGCCGCGCCCCUCAACAAGCAGCCAGUAGCUCACACCGGAGACUACAGCGAUGCCAUCUACGCCGCGAACUUGGCCUUGGAACUCAACCGGCUGGAGGACGACAAGAAGGGUGUUUACAUAGACUUCAUCUCCGCCGCCUACAUAAAUCCCCAGAUCCCCCGCGCUCUCCCCCCUGACCUCCAACGGCUGUCCAGGGGAGCACCGUCCCCCCCAGGCUUCCCCGCUGUGGCUGUGUCCACCUCCUCCGCCUCCUUCGGUCCCCGCGCCCCCGCUGGCUUCCCCCGCCCAGGUGUAGGGGCUCAUCGCUUCCCCUUCGCCCGUGGAGCCGGAAGAAGAUAACCUCCCCAAUUCCCCAUCCCCCAUGAGCUCCCCAUCUUCCCCUCUCUCCCCAUCAUCUCCCCUCCCCCCGCCACCCCCACGAACGCCUCGACAUCAUAACCACUACAAGAAGAUGAUGAUGAAGAGAAAGGAUAAGGAGAGUAAAUAGAAGAGAAGGGUCAAGAAAAAGAAGGGAAAAAGAAGAAAAAGAUAAUGAUGAAGGAAGGAAGAAGAGAAAGAUAAUAAUGAAGAAAGGAAGAAAGGAAACAAAGAUGAAAAGGAAGAAAGGAAGAAGAAAAGAACGCAAAUGGUAAAGAAAGGAAAAAUUAAGAGAAAGAUAAUGAUAAAAGAAGGAAGAAGAAGAGAAAGGUAAUAAUGAAGAAAGGAAGAAAAGGAAACAGAUGAAGAUGAAGAAAGGAAGAAGAAAAAAAAGCAAAUGAUAAAGAAAGGAAAAAAAGAAGACAGGUUAUGAUAAAGAAAGGAAAAUUAAAAGAAUGAAAAAGAAUAAAAAGAUAGAGAAAAGAUAAAGCAAAUGAGAAGAAGAGAUAAUGAUGAUGAUAAUGAUGGUAAUAUAGGAAGUUAUGAUAAAGAAAGAAGAAAAGAAGAUGAUGAUAGAGAAAGAAAAUAAAGAUAAUAAUAAUAAAAAUAAUAAUAAUGAUAACGUCAGCUAUAACGAAUAAAAAAAAAGAGAAUAGUAAUAAUAAUGAUGAUAAUAGUUAAAGAAAUGAUAAGAAUGAGUAUCUAGAAUUUCUGGUAAUUUUAUUUGUGUUUAUUUUUAUUUCAAUGUCAUUUCAGAAUUUUCAGGAACUUCUUUUUUUAAUCUGUAUCAAGUUUUAUUCAAUUUCCGUCACGGUAUUUGUGUUUUUAUUAGUUUAUUUCCGUGUAUGUUCCCUUUCAUUUUAUUUUCACUUUUUUAUUCAUAUUCUUGCAACUUUAUUAUGAUUUUACCGAUAGAUUUUUGUUUUCACUUCCACUGCAUUUUUCUUUUAUUCUUUGCUAUGUGAUUUUGCUUCAUUUUAUCUGUUUAUUUUUUUAUCUAUGUUUGUUUUCAGUUUUUUUUCAUACAGUUCAUAGUUUUGUAUUUAGGCUUCUUUUGAAUGGCAUGUAUUGCUUUAAAUUUUCGUUGUUGUUUUUUUAUAUACAGUUCAAUUUUAAGGUUUUCAUUUGUAUAUUUCAUUUUUAUCUAUUUAUUUUUCUCUAAACCGUCAUAUUUUUCUUGCUUUUUUUUUCUUUGUAUUUUUUCGUUCGGGAUCUUUCGGUGCAUAUACAGCGCAUCCAAAUACUAUACGGUGCUAGUGUUGGAAUAAUUCUCUCUCUCUCUCUCUCUCUCUCUCUCUCUCUCUCUCUCUCUCUCUCUCUCUCUCUCUCUCUCUCUCUCUCUCUCUCUCUCUCUCUCUCUCUCUC